Molecule: long non-coding RNA, 1129 nt
Filed under: Physcomitrium patens
Lineage: Eukaryota; Viridiplantae; Streptophyta; Bryopsida; Funariales; Funariaceae
Description: long non-coding RNA (PPAT_LNC014428)
Source: RNAcentral
CCAUUCAGAGUUUGUACACACAUGUUUAACAGAAGAUUUUUCCGAGAUCCCCAUUUUAGUGGGUCGUACAUAGAAUAUUCUAUGAAAUAUCAAGUGUAUGGACAUUGUUUAAGAUUAAGUACCACAGCAUUACAUCACAGUGAAGGCGUACUCAAAGUGUCUGUGCCGUAUAACUUAAGUUAGGACAGACUGUCAACUAGGCAGUUUGUUACAGACGUUCUGAAGGUAACGAUAAUAUAGGGUAAACCCCGACAACAACGUUGAGCCUACGGCAGAAACUCCUCGUCGAGCGGAGCAAUAAUACAUCAGAAGGGACUACAAGAACAUCCGCCAAGAAGGAGGAAUAGGAGUAUGACGUCAGGAGGUUCCAUAUUCUAGGAAAACCAGAACCAUACGAUUGAUUGCUUCAGGUUCCAAAGAGAAAAUGACUCUUCAACAAGAAAACUCUGAGUGGAGAGGGAAACGGCAUUUAAACCUCUUCAAUGAGGAACACUCAGGAGUGACUACGCCGAGAGCAUUACACACUAAUACCAACCAAAAAACGACCUAGAGGAGUAGUACUUGAUGUUGUGGCGUCAUUUAACUCAACACCCCAUGACAAGAGAAGCGAGGUGAUAAAACGCCACAUCCAGACGCAAUGGUGACAUCCCAUCUGUUUUCACUCUACGAGUUCGUUCAGCCGCGGCGUACAUCUACAACGAACCCCGCGGAUAGUUAUGAACUCACAGAUAUCCAAACGACACUAACAGCCACAACGACUCAAAGAAAACAAAAAAUUAAAAACAAAACCAAAAACACUAGUCACAAGAAGGAGGAGAAAAAAAAAAAAAAGUGCAACUGAUAGCAUCAAUCCCAUACCCUAACGACAGUCAAGAUCGUUAACCACCUGUGCUAACCUCAGCACAACUCAGUGCUCCGGUCAGCUCCACAACAGAGCCAAAUACAAUAAUGCAUUAUCUCAUGGGCAGGAGAAGACCCAAAUACCAUCCUCUCGACAGAUGAGCGAGAUCCACGAGAACCCGCAGCCAACACAGGAUUUCGGUGAGGCACCUGCUUUCAGCCUUUAUGGAGGACUCCGCGCAACAAUGCGAACAAGCAAACCCUAAUUCCUGCACGAAGGAUGAUACCC